AGAUAACAGUGGUGACAGCAUCAUGUUCUUCAGUGAUGUUGGGCAGUGAUGGAGGGUGCCAUGUGAAGCUCUCCACAGAUAACAGUGGUGACAGCAUCAUGUUCUUCAGUGAUGUUGGGCAGUGAUGGAGGGUGCCAUGUGAAGCUCUCCACAGAUAACAGUGGUGACAGCACCAUGUUCUUCAGUGAUGUUGGGCAGUGAUGGAGGGUGCCAUGUGAAGCUCUCCACAGAUAACAGUGGUGACAGCAUCAUGUUCUUCAGUGAUGUUGGGCAGUGAUGGAGGGUGCCAUGUGAAGCUCUCCACAGAUAACAGUGGUGACAGCAUCAUGUUCUUCAGUGAUGGCGGGCAGUGAUGGAGGGUGCCAUGUGAAGCUCUCCACAGAUAACAGUGGUGACAGCAUCAUGUUCUUCAGUGAUGGCGGGCAGUGAUGGAGGGUGCCAUGUGAAGCUCUCCACAGAUAACAGUGGUGACAGCACCAUGUUCUUCAGUGAUGUUGGGCAGUGAUGGAGGGUGCCAUGUGAAGCUCUCCACAGAUAACAGUGGUGACAGCAUCAUGUUCUUCAGUGAUGUUGGGCAGUGAUGGAGGGUGCCAUGUGAAGCUCUCCAGAGAUAACAGUGGUGACAGCAUCAUGUUCUUCAGUGAUGUUGGGCAGUGAUGGAGGGUGCCAUGUGAAGCUCUCCAGAGAUAACAGUGGUGACAGCAUCAUGUUCUUCAGUGAUGUUGGGCAGUGAUGGAGGGUGCCAUGUGAAGCUCUCCACAGAUAACAGUGGUGACAGCACCAUGUUCUUCAGUGAUGGCAGGCAGUGAUGGAGGGUGCCAUGUGAAGCUCUCCACAGAUAACAGUGGUGACAGCACCAUGUUCUUCAGUGAUGGCGGGGGCCCUCACCAGUCUUCUUCAUUAAGCUUCUGUCUUCCUGCUUCAGGCUGCAAUCAAACAGUUGUUUAGUACCACAUUAAUAUGUUUGGGGCAGAUUGAAUUAUAGCUAACAUAGUAUACUGUUUGAUUGAAUAUUUGAAAGAAUCAAACCUAAACUAACAUACUGUUUGAUUGAAUAUUUGAAAGAAUCAAACCUAAACUAACAUACUGUUUGAUUGAAUAUUUGAAAGAAUCAAACCUAAACUAACAUACUGUUUGAUUGAAUAUUUGAAAGAAUCAAACCUAAACUAACAUACUGUUUGAUUGAAUAUUUGAAAGAAUCAAACCUAAACUAACACACUGUUUGAUUGAAUAUUUGAAAGAAUCAAACCUAAACUAACCAGGUUACCCCAUUCCCAAGCUUGCAGGGUAGGCACUGAAAAAGGUAGAUUGAAAAACAGAACUGUAUUACUAACCUAAAUGAAUGUAUUAUUCUAGUGUUUGUGUUAGAGAUAGGUUUACUGUUCAACAGGAUGAGGUAGGGUUGUUAAGUAUGAAAAUGGCUCUUAAUCAAUGAAGCAGUAAUGCAUGGUUACUAUUUUGUCUGUGAUGGUUAAAUUAUUAGCAUGUGUAAAAGCUACAACUGCUAUAUACUGCAUAGUAAUAUUCUAUGUAUCUAUAUAUCUUUCCCUUUGCCCUAAUUAACCCGUUCGUGGUCAACCACGUCACCUGACGUGUUAAUGUUGUUACUCCCUCUGGUCAACCACGUCAUAUGACGUUUUAUUAUUAUUUUUUUUCCACGUGAAUGAAAUGCCUCUAGUGGUUUAUAAUUACGUUUAUUGAAGUGUCAGGCAUCUUUUCUCAAGUGAUGACUUUUAGCGCGGCAGUUUUAUUGGUUCAGAGCAUGCUUAUGGCACGUAGAUGUCGACUCGACGCUCUCUCUGAUGAGCAAACUCAGCCUCAUUUCAAUGAAGAGGAGGGUGAUACUGACAGUGAAUCUACAAUAGAUGAUAGUGAUAAAGAUGAAGAUUAUGUUUUUCAAGAAAGUGUGGAUCUGAAUGUUAUCCAGCAGACACAGCAGCAGCUGACUACUCCUCAAACAUAUGCUCUGGUCCAUCACCUACUCAACUAUCUUCUCCGCCUCCUUCCACCUCUAGGUGUUUAUAUCCACCACGUGGUGGCAGAACGAAGAUGGCAAGAUGUCGGUGUUCAUCAUCCAAAGAUGAAAGCAAUGCGUCUCGUCCAAGAGUGACUCCCCCACCCGCCCGUGGUCUCACUCCAGCCACACAGACACCUUCCUGCCGAUCCUGUAGGUCACGUGUUAUGCCACAUUUAUGUUUCCUGUUCAGAAUUACUAGCCAGACAAAUUGUGUUCUUAUAGCCUAGUCAUACACUAUCAUAAGAAUGUAGUGUUGUACAAAAGGAAACAAUUGUUAUGCCACAUUUCCUUUUUGUUUCCCGUUCAUAAUUACUAUUUUGAGACUAAUUGUGUUCUUAUAGUGAUACAAUAUCAUAAGAAUGUAGUGUUGUGCAAAAGAAAAACAAUAUGUAAUGAAUGACUGGCUAACAUAACCUUGUCUCAAACUAAAGAAAAA
This is a long non-coding RNA of Eriocheir sinensis (Chinese mitten crab), 2453 nucleotides long. RefSeq lists it as uncharacterized. NCBI's taxonomy places the organism in Eukaryota, Metazoa, Arthropoda, Malacostraca, Decapoda, Varunidae. The record is from RefSeq and is a predicted model, not a curated record. The transcript is spliced from 2 exons.